UCGCCCAGGGAUGAGCCCGCGUCGGAUUAGCUUGUUGGUGAGGUAAAAGCUCACCAAGGCGACGAUCCGUAGCUGGUCUGAGAGGAUGAUCAGCCACACUGGGACUGAGACACGGCCCAG
This 120-nucleotide ribosomal RNA is filed under the name uncultured bacterium. Its description in RNAcentral is "partial 16S ribosomal RNA". It matches the Rfam family "Bacterial small subunit ribosomal RNA", at positions 215 to 334 of the family's 1533-position model. The record is from RNAcentral.